GCGAAAGUAGCUCAGUUGGUAGAGCACAACCUUGCCAAGGUUGGGGUCGCGGGUUCGAAUCCCGUCUUUCGCUC
This 74-nucleotide transfer RNA is filed under the name Phaeocystidibacter marisrubri. Its description in RNAcentral is "tRNA-Gly". It matches the Rfam family "tRNA". From Rfam's summary of the family: Transfer RNA (tRNA) molecules are approximately 80 nucleotides in length. Their secondary structure includes four short double-helical elements and three loops (D, anti-codon, and T loops). Lineage: Bacteria; Pseudomonadati; Bacteroidota; Flavobacteriia; Flavobacteriales; Phaeocystidibacteraceae. The record is from RNAcentral.